Molecule: non-coding RNA, 416 nt
Organism: Streptomyces sp. NRRL S-1521
Lineage: Bacteria; Bacillati; Actinomycetota; Actinomycetes; Kitasatosporales; Streptomycetaceae
Rfam family: Bacterial RNase P class A
About the family: Ribonuclease P (RNase P) is a ubiquitous endoribonuclease, found in archaea, bacteria and eukarya as well as chloroplasts and mitochondria. Its best characterised activity is the generation of mature 5'-ends of tRNAs by cleaving the 5'-leader elements of precursor-tRNAs. Cellular RNase Ps are ribonucleoproteins.
Source: Rfam
CGAGCCGGGCGGGCGGCCGCGUGAAGACCCCUUCGGGGGCCCUUCCCGAGGAACGUCCGGGCUCCACAGGGCAAGGUGGUGGCUAACGGCCACCCGGGGUGACCCGCGGGACAGUGCCACAGAAAACAGACCGCCGAGGGCUCCGGCCCCCGGUAAGGGUGAAACGGUGGUGUAAGAGACCACCAGCGCCUGGGGUGACCCAGGCGGCUAGGUAAACCCCACCUGGAGCAAGGUCAAAAGGAAGCACCUUUUCCCAGGAAAGGGCGCUUCUGCGCGGACGACCGAGGGCUGCCCGCCCGAGUCCGCGGGUAGACCGCACGAGGCCGGCAGCAAUGCCGGCCCUAGAUGGAUGGCCGUCACCGCGACGUCCGCGAGGACCCGCGGCACAGAACCCGGCGUACAGCCCGACUCGUCUG